This 462-nucleotide ribosomal RNA is filed under the name Clavispora lusitaniae. RNAcentral's name for it is "eukaryotic LSU rRNA". The stretch from base 1 to 372 matches the Rfam family "Eukaryotic large subunit ribosomal RNA", at positions 235 to 664 of the family's 3401-position model. The record is from RNAcentral. Lineage: Eukaryota; Fungi; Ascomycota; Pichiomycetes; Serinales; Metschnikowiaceae.
GCCUACUCUUUGCACCCCGGCUCCAACGAGUCGAGUUGUUUGGGAAUGCAGCUCUAAGUGGGUGGUAAAUUCCAUCUAAAGCUAAAUAUUGGCSAGAGACCGAUAGCGAACAAGUACAGUGAUGGAAAGAUGAAAAGCACUUUGAAAAGAGAGUGAAACAGCACGUGAAAUUGUUGAAAGGGAAGGGCUUGCAAGCAGAUACGGUUUUACCGGGCCAGCGUCAAAUAAACGGGGGGGAAAAGGGGGAAAGAAUGUGGCGCGUGCCUUCGGGUUCGCGUGYUAUAGCUUUCUCUAAUACCCCCAUGUUUGUUUGAGGCCUGCGAUUCUAGGACGCUGGCUUAAUGGUUGCCAGCCGCCCGUCUUGAAACACGUGACCGGGAACCCUCUUCUCUCUCCUGGCCCAUUAAUUGUGGGGGGCGUUUAUGAAUGAACUUUAUCAUACAACUGGUUCUUUCUUUCAGG